Molecule: ribosomal RNA, 351 nt
Filed under: uncultured bacterium
Lineage: Bacteria
Description: bacterial SSU rRNA
Rfam family: Bacterial small subunit ribosomal RNA
Source: RNAcentral
AAGCGUGCGUAGGCGGUUUAUUAAGUCAGAUGUGAAAGCCCCGGGCUUAACCUGGGAACUGCAUUUGAAACUGGUCAACUAGAGUAUGGUAGAGGAAAGUGGAAUUUCUGGUGUAGCGGUGAAAUGCGUAGAUAUCAGAAGGAACAUCAAUGGCGAAGGCAGCUUUCUGGACCAAUACUGACGCUGAGGUACGAAAGCGUGGGUAGCAAACAGGAUUAGAUACCCUGGUAGUCCACGCCGUAAACGAUGAUAACUAGCCGUUGGGGGGAUUUACCCCUUAGUGGCGAAGCUAACGCGUUAAGUUAUCCGCCUGGGGAGUACGGCCGCAAGGCUAAAACUCAAAUGAAUUGA